GUUAUUGAAGGGAAAUAUUUGCUUAAACUAAUCACAUUAACCAUUUUUAAUGGAACACAUGUCAUAACACCCUUUUGCAAAAGGCUUACGUUUUCUACAAUUACAUCCAGGGGGUGGCUGGCAGAGGCUGCCCAAGUGACCUUCAAAAAUACCUGAAGCAAAGCAUAAGCCCCUGUCUACAAUCUCAAGUUUUAUCUCAUUCCAAAUUAACUCUAAAAAUCUGUUUGUUUGAAGUCAGACUUUUCCAGCAGUGAGAGGCUUUUGAUAUACAAAAACAUAUUAAGUUUGUUGUGGCUAGCCUCAUGACUAAAAUUUGAAGUCACAGUUCAAUUUAUCAAGAAAUUCAUUUUAAGCAUUAUUGGACAAUGGUUUCAAAAUGCAUCAUCUGUUCUGAAGUUUAUACUGUAUUAUUUUUAUCAUUAUGGUAUUAUAAGCCAUGGCCUAUAAUUUUUGUUUGUCACUUUUUGCUGUGGCUUCUAAUCAAAAGUAGCUUAGAAAGAAGGGCAGGUUACAUUAUUUUAUCCAGAUCUUGCCAAGCUCCUGCUAUCUUAUUGGAUCAUCAAUAGUGUCUAAAAGUAUUUCUCCCAUCUUCUACAUUAAAUAAACAAUCCAAUACUGAACAACAUUGUUGACGGUUGAACAAUGUAAUGUCUAUUUUAUGGUUAAGUACGCAAUCAGGGUUUAUAUCGUUAUUUCAAACCAAUUAUUUCUGCAUGGUUUUGUGGGUGCAGCUCAGAAUCAAGGGGGGAUACAUUUUUUAAGAACCCAUCUUGCUGCCGUCUGUAAUCUUGGCAGCUUAUAAUAAAUCAAUUACAGUACUUUCUUGUAAUUCUGUUUUACCACAUAAUUAUUCAAAUAGUGUGAAAAUGCAAAUAUUUGAAAAGAAAUGUAUUUUUAUAAAAUUUUAGCUAUCUUAUCACCAUUGCUUUCCUUUCUCAGUUUUAAAAAAGCCAAUACUGCAAGUCAAUGGUAAUAACAGUUUUCAACAGUCAUAUGGAAUGCCAGCCUUUUGUAAUGACCCAGUCAGCUAUUCUACUGGCAACAUUGUUGCUUUUUGUAUCACUGGGUUCAUUGGCCUGUUGGUUCUAAUUGGUACAUUUCUUGACUAUGCACAAAACUGGUUCAAACCGACAACAGUAGUUUUAUCCAAGUCAAGUGGCUUCAUGCCUGUAAUGGGAGCUAGUGAUGAUGAUAUUCUGUCACAUAAUGUUGUUAAUGAAAGCCAGCCUUUUCUUGCUCAAAAUGAUGUGAAAAAGUCUCAGAAAAGCUUGUUUGCAGAAAUCCUCUUGUGUUUUUCAUUCCGGAAAAACUUUAAACAGAUAUUCAACACUGAUGUCGCUUCAUCUGCCAUCACAUGUAUCAAUGGCAUUCGCACCAUCAGCAUGACAU
Molecule: non-coding RNA, 1389 nt
Organism: Rhopilema esculentum
Lineage: Eukaryota; Metazoa; Cnidaria; Scyphozoa; Rhizostomeae; Rhizostomatidae
Source: RefSeq, a predicted model, not a curated record